AGAGUUUGAUCCUGGCUCAGGAUGAACGCUAGCUACAGGCUUAACACAUGCAAGUCGAGGGGCAGCAUGGUCUUAGCUUGCUAAGGCCGAUGGCGACCGGCGCACGGGUGAGUAACACGUAUCCAACCUGCCGUCUACUCUUGGACAGCCUUCUGAAAGGAAGAUUAAUACAAGAUGGCAUCAUGAGUCCGCAUGUUCACAUGAUUAAAGGUAUUCCGGUAGACGAUAGGGAUGCGUUCCAUUAGAUAGUAGGCGGGGUAACGGCCCACCUAGUCUUCGAUGGAUAGGGGUUCUGAGAGGAAGGUCCCCCACAUUGGAACUGAGACACGGUCCAAACUCCUACGGGAGGCAGCAGUGAGGAAUAUUGGUCAAUGGGCGAGAGCCUGAACCAGCCAAGUAGCGUGAAGGAUGACUGCCCUAUGGGUUGUAAACUUCUUUUAUAAAGGAAUAAAGUCGGGUAUGCAUACCCGUUUGCAUGUACUUUAUGAAUAAGGAUCGGCUAACUCCGUGCCAGCAGCCGCGGUAAUACGGAGGAUCCGAGCGUUAUCCGGAUUUAUUGGGUUUAAAGGGAGCGUAGAUGGAUGUUUAAGUCAGUUGUGAAAGUUUGCGGCUCAACCGUAAAAUUGCAGUUGAUACUGGAUAUCUUGAGUGCAGUUGAGGCAGGCGGAAUUCGUGGUGUAGCGGUGAAAUGCUUAGAUAUCACGAAGAACUCCGAUUGCGAAGGCAGCCUGCUAAGCUGCAACUGACAUUGAGGCUCGAAAGUGUGGGUAUCAAACAGGAUUAGAUACCCUGGUAGUCCACACGGUAAACGAUGAAUACUCGCUGUUUGCGAUAUACAGCAAGCGGCCAAGCGAAAGCGUUAAGUAUUCCACCUGGGGAGUACGCCGGCAACGGUGAAACUCAAAGGAAUUGACGGGGGCCCGCACAAGCGGAGGAACAUGUGGUUUAAUUCGAUGAUACGCGAGGAACCUUACCCGGGCUUAAAUUGCAGAUGAAUUACGGUGAAAGCCGUAAGCCGCAAGGCAUCUGUGAAGGUGCUGCAUGGUUGUCGUCAGCUCGUGCCGUGAGGUGUCGGCUUAAGUGCCAUAACGAGCGCAACCCUUGUUGUCAGUUACUAACAGGUCAUGCUGAGGACUCUGACAAGACUGCCAUCGUAAGAUGUGAGGAAGGUGGGGAUGACGUCAAAUCAGCACGGCCCUUACGUCCGGGGCUACACACGUGUUACAAUGGGGGGUACAGAGGGCCGCUACCACGCGAGUGGAUGCCAAUCCCCAAAACCUCUCUCAGUUCGGACUGGAGUCUGCAACCCGACUCCACGAAGCUGGAUUCGCUAGUAAUCGCGCAUCAGCCACGGCGCGGUGAAUACGUUCCCGGGCCUUGUACACACCGCCCGUCAAGCCAUGGGAGCCGGGGGUACCUGAAGUGCGUAACCGCGAGGAGCGCCCUAGGGUAAAACUGGUGACUGGGGCUAAGUCGUAACAAGGUA
RNAcentral lists this ribosomal RNA (1486 nucleotides) under metagenome. Its description in RNAcentral is "bacterial SSU rRNA". It matches the Rfam family "Bacterial small subunit ribosomal RNA". The record is from RNAcentral.